GGGACGAGGCGGCGGCUAUGGCGGACGAGCGGGCGGUGUGAGGGCUCGGCCGCCAUUUUGUGUGUGUGGGGGCUCGCGCCAGGCCUCGCUGCCGCCGCCGCGAGGCUGGUGAGCGGCCGGGGACUUCGAUGAGACUCCGAGCUGAGCCGGGAGCGCGGGGGAGCGUCUCCCUCCGGUGUUGAGUCCUGAGGAGAGCGGCGGAGGCCCGCGCGCAGCGUUUUCAGGGAGCCGGACUGCUGCUGCAGCGCUUCCUGCCUGAAGAGCGGCUGGAAGCGGAGUCGGGUAUCGCAGUCCCCCGCUGGGGACGGGGUGCUUCGGCAGGCGCUGCAAGUCUGCGCUGCUGCUAAGUGUGCCGAGGGCUGCGUGCUGCCCGGCUCACCGCGCUGCCCCGGGGUCACUGCUGCCGGAGUGGGACACGCAGCUGUCCGGGAGGAGCCGAGUCCGCCCCGUGCAGCGCUGCGGGGCUCCAGGUGGAGCAGGAGGCCUCAGCGGGCUGCUGCUUCUCUCCCCGAGCAAUGACUUCUAACGAGUGAGAUCCCAAUUAACUCAGCCCGCUCCUAACGAGUGAGAUCCCAAUUAACUCAGCCCGCUCCAACACAAGGAGCAGCAGCAGAGCCCCCGCAGCCACCCCAGCGCUGCCGCUGCCCGAUGGUGUCAUGGCAGAGGGAAGGGAAAAGGAGACUGCGAGGCUCCUGGGCAGCACCCCUGCGGUACUCUCCUGUCCUUCCCACAGCUGGUGGCAGUGUUUGCCCCGAGCGGAUUUUUUGGCCAAGCCUAUGCUAAAACCUGCCUGGAGCCCCACAGCAGCCCCACGCCAUCUUCCCCUUCCCCGGAGCUGACGUUUGUUAUGAAAUAAACCUGCCCCCGUAGGUACCGAG
RNA transcript from Gallus gallus (chicken), 878 nucleotides. It is a transcript of the gene named centromere protein V-like, with no coding region annotated. The record is from RefSeq and is a predicted model, not a curated record. The transcript is spliced from 3 exons. NCBI's taxonomy places the organism in Eukaryota, Metazoa, Chordata, Aves, Galliformes, Phasianidae.